AUUACCCUUUUAUUAUUAUAGAUGGAUUUUGGGGGCAGGGAGAUGGAAUAGGAGCUUGCUUCGUCCACUCCACACAUUGACCCAGUAUUGCAGUACCUCUGGGAAUGGUGCACACACA
This 118-nucleotide small nuclear RNA is filed under the name Myotis lucifugus (little brown bat). RNAcentral's name for it is "U2 spliceosomal RNA". It matches the Rfam family "U2 spliceosomal RNA", at positions 75 to 192 of the family's 192-position model. Rfam says of the family: U2 is a small nuclear RNA (snRNA) component of the spliceosome (involved in pre-mRNA splicing). Complementary binding between U2 snRNA (in an area lying towards the 5' end but 3' to hairpin I) and the branchpoint sequence (BPS) of the intron results the bulging out of an unpaired adenosine, on the BPS, which initiates a nucleophilic attack at the intronic 5' splice site, thus starting the first of two transesterification reactions that mediate splicing. The record is from Rfam by way of RNAcentral. Lineage: Eukaryota; Metazoa; Chordata; Mammalia; Chiroptera; Vespertilionidae.